AUUAUUUCAUUGGUUAGUUUGUAUUGCCUUGCCAACCAACCAGAGGAUGCCAUUUAUCCUUUUCUGACUAGCUGAGUGAACAGAGUACCCAGAAUGUUUGAAUAUGCCUUAAUUUCAUCCAGCAGCAAAGGAUGGAGCUCAGAGUUCUAGGACCCAGGAAGUUUGGCUAAUCCAGUUCUUGCUUUUGCAAGAACAAAUUUUGCUACCUAGUUAUUUGUAGCUUUCUUGAACAAAAAUUACAUUGUCCUAUAGAUUUUUCUUUUCAUUUAAAAAUAUAUCUUGAGGGCGGCCCCGGGUGGCUCAGAGAUUUGGCGCCUGCCUUCAGGCCAGGGCAUGAUCCUGGAGACCCAGGAUCGAGUCCCACAUCCGGCUCCAUGUAUGGAGCCUGCUUCACCCUCUGUCUGUGUCUCUGUCUCUCAAGAAUAAAUAAAUAAAAUCUUUUUAAAAAUGAAAAAAAAUUUUUAAAAAUAGAAAUAAAAAUAUAUCUUGUGCAUCUCUCCAAGUCAGUGCAGGUUUGUGGUAUCAGCACUCGAAAGGUCCAUGGAAUCUUUGAGAUUUCUCCUAGAAGUUCAGAAUUGGUUCCCACCCUUAAGGAUUUAGUGAAAACUUUCAAGAGUGAGGAGGAGAAGCUAGAAGAGGGAAGAGCUGUGUUACCUAUGACAAACCUGUAUCUCAGCUUUUGGGUUCAUUCUGUCCAACUUUGGUGUCUCUGGUAGCUUUGUUUUUGUUAGUUUGUUUUGUUUUUUACUUUAAUUCUUCGGCUUGCAUUUUCAGUGACAACAAUCUGGGUGGAUGAAGAUGAUGACACUCCAGUUGAGUGUAGAAGCAGAUACAGCACUUCCCAAGAGGGUUUGUGGCAGGGGGAGGCAGCAGAGCAAGAUGCAGAAUGAGUGUGUGCCUGAGACUUUCCUUUGUAAAGUUGGAGACAGCUCCUCAUAAAACAGGAGAAGGAGGCUGAACGUCCAGGACUCCAGGCAUGUGCUUAGGUCCAGACCCAUAGGAGUAGAGGAUCUGAAUACGGAGUCCGUCCUUGCCCCCAGAGUAAACUGUCACGAAGUGUCCCUGUCUGAAGACCUUCCGUCCUCUUCUUUACUACUCUCUAUCCUAUCGCUCUUGCCUCCUAAGCAGCUCUGGAAUCUGUCCCAAGCUCUUUAUCCUCUCUACUAAGAUGGCCCCCAGGACCUUACCUUGCCUGAAUGUCCACAAUCACCCCCAAACCCUCUUUCUCCAGAUCUUUUUUUUUUUUUUUU
This 1250-nucleotide long non-coding RNA is filed under the name Canis lupus familiaris (dog). RNAcentral describes it as "lncRNA (ENSCAFG00040000427.1)". The record is from RNAcentral. Lineage: Eukaryota; Metazoa; Chordata; Mammalia; Carnivora; Canidae.